Molecule: long non-coding RNA, 2232 nt
Organism: Lolium perenne
Lineage: Eukaryota; Viridiplantae; Streptophyta; Magnoliopsida; Poales; Poaceae
Source: RefSeq, a predicted model, not a curated record
ACAGUGGCAAAUAGGAGUAAAAUAUUUUUUAUCUGGUAGGCCAAACAAAAAAGAUAGGAUUAUUCAUGUUUAAAGCCAAUUUCAGUGACCAAAUGCCAUGUACUCCUCAAGUUACAGUGUGACAUUAAAUUUUUUUCCUUCAAUCUCCAAUACUAGAAAGUUCUGGGUGCUACUUCAUUGAAAUUUUGCCUGAUAGAUUUAUUGCAAAACUGGAAUGCAAUCAAAGGAGAAAAUAUAUAUUUGCUCCGAUGACCUUCAAUUUCAUCAAAUGUUCAAAAACAAUUUUAUUUAGAUUUGUGAUCUGUUAUAGCUUAAGUAAUAUGCAACUUGCUGCCAGCAGACAGUGUAAAUAAAGGCUGGAAAAGUUAGUUCAACAGUAAUUUACUUUCUUGGGUUUCCCGUGUAUUUUUUUUAGCAAAAUAACUCGACGAGUUCACAGAAGUUCCUCUCUCUGUGUUCUCAAACUGAUUUAUGGGUUUCUCUACAAGCUAUACUAUAGAGAUAGUGUGCAGUGAAUUUUCCUCAUCUGAAAAGGAGAAGUUGAAAACUGUGGAGGCAAAGAUAUGUGUUCCAUUUUUCUAUGAUGAAAAGGACAAGCUAUACAAUAGAAAUAGUCCAAACGAACCGAGCUGUCUAAUCUUGAGGAAGAGUAUAUCGGGAAGUAUGUGCUCCAUUCAUACAAAGGCUAAUAUUUAGAAUCCUGGGAAGCAUAUAAUUUAUCAUGCUGCUCUUUUAGGGUUAUGGAUGUCGUAAGGCGUAUCUAGAAAUAUUUUUUAACAUUAUUUUCAAGUCAUUUAUCUCCUUGAAUUAUUACUUGCAUUUUUGUGAGAUGAUUAAUUGCUAAGUUAUAUUUCUAUAUUACAUCUAGCACACAUCAUCAUUACCAAGUUCCAUUUCACCAAUGUGUCAGAAUAGAUAAGAUUAUAUUAUUUCUUGUUCAGUCAACUCAGUCAUUCAAAGUCUGUUCCAAAAUAUGAAACAUGUUCGGUCUAAAUGGUUUGUCAAAAUUUAACGAGCACGUGCCUGAUCAUAUACUUCAGGUACUUGUUUUUAACGCAUGCUAUCUGGCCAUCUCUGAAGGAGGCCUUUUUUCCGAAAGCAUUGCAAAUGCUUGUUUCCUAAGAAGCUUCUCCUUAUCAAUGGUGUGAAAAAAUGUGCCUCGUUUCCAUUGGAAUUCACCAUUUUCUGUUGAUAAUUGCAGGAAAAUGUUCAAGCCAUAUGAACUUGGGUGCGUUGGAGCUCAAGACAAAGAGGAUACACUCAUUUUCUUUUUAACACGGGAUGGGUAAAGGACACAAGCUAUUCCAUUAGAUAAGAUCGAUGAUUACAUAAUAUCCCCAAAAGUCACAAGAAAACAAAAAAUACAAACUGGUUCCUGGAAUUUGUUUAUGUCCGUUGGAUGAAGGUGGAUGCUAGCCUCAAGGUGCUUCGUGCCUUGCCUUCAGCUAGGCACUGGAUCUCAGUCCCCCCAUGGUGGCAGAUGAAAGAAGAGAGGGACGGUGGCUAGACUUUCAGAUUGAACCACCUGCUUGUGCAGACCUUCUCGACACAUGGGAAGAAAACAAUUUGUGAUGUCUCCUGAAAUGUUCGUGGUCUCAGGGACACCUUGCUGCAGUUGGUGCAGAAGGCAGGGGUGUUCGUUGUCACUUUCCUGGGAUCCUAUCAUUGUGGUUUCAGCCAAGUCUAUGGAAGACACAAGAGUCAAAACAAACAUCUUGAUGAUAGCAAUAAACACAAGUAUGAGGGUGACAUAGUUUGCAUGAAAAGGUUGAGCAAGAAUCAACUAUUUACGAAGCUGGAUGCUAGCACAAGCAAUCCAUAUCAACCUAGGCAAACCUGAGGAACGAGAGAAGGAGGAAUUACCACUCAUGGUAAUCUGUAAGGCCCGAUGAUCGAAGUUAUCAGGAGGGGUGAUUGAGAGGAAUGGCUAUGAUUGAAGGGGACAUUUUUCUUGUGGAAGUGGAACGGGUAUAGACAUGUUUGACUACCUAUAUGGUGGUAGAAACAACAUGCACGAGGUUGCUUGGGAUCAAACAAAAAUUGGAAGAAAUACCUUUAUGAUCAGAUAGUGCGAUGGGUAGAUGAUAGCUAUGUUUUGCAUUGCUCUAUGGACUUGAGUUGUUUGGGACGGCUCAAUUGUCAUGUACUGGCACACUGUUGGGAUUUGUCUGUCUUCUCUCACAUAGAUGAUGUUAUAUAUUUCUGCUUGAUUAUACUUGCACUUGAUGUCAA